This 206-nucleotide ribosomal RNA is filed under the name uncultured bacterium. RNAcentral describes it as "partial 16S ribosomal RNA". It matches the Rfam family "Bacterial small subunit ribosomal RNA", at positions 568 to 774 of the family's 1533-position model. The record is from RNAcentral.
UACGUAGGUGGUUUUACAAGUCUAGGGUGAAAGGCAGUGGCUCAACCAUUGUUAGCCCUAGAAACUGUAUGACUUGAGUGCAGGAGAGGUAAGUGGAAUUCCUAGUGUAGCGGUGAAAUGCGUAGAUAUUAGGAGGAACACCAGUGGCGAAGGCGACUUACUGGACUGUUACUGACACUGAGGUACGAAAGCGUGGGGAGCGAACA